GCUGUCACUUCCGGCGGCCGCGGCGUGCACUGUCGGUCGGCGGCUAAGGAGGGGAGGCACCUGCAUCUGGGGCGCGGCGAAUCCUCGCGUGCGCCAGGCCGCCUGGGGUAGUCGCCGAGACUGCGCCGGCCAGCGGGGCCGAAACCUAAUCAGGAGCUGAGCUUUGAUGGCGGCUUCUGGAGGGACAAAGAAGGCGCAGAGCGGUGGGAGGAGGCUGCGAGAACCUAGCUCCCGCCCCAGCCGACGUGCGAGACAAAGGCCCCGGCGCGGGGCUCUUCGGAAGGCCGGGAGGUUCCUGUGACAAUGCGAGUCUGCGCCCCACGCUCCCGCACCGUGAUGCCGAGGCCAAAUGGCUAGAGUGGGCCCAGGCAUCAGCAUUUCUGUUUGGCAGCCGGGCAGUUGUGGUGCACGUUUUGAGGAACUACUAAAGCCUGCCUGUGAUGAAAAAGGCAAAAGCUGACUUCACCAAAAUUACUCCCAGGGAGACUUCUGCAUUUGGCUGGAAGGACAUUUGAGUAAACCGCUGAGGCUGGUGGUUGAAACAUAAUCCUCUAAGGGAGAUCGGUUCCGAUACCCUGAGUUAGGGACGCUUGCCUGGGCAGAGCUAAGGGGAGAAUGAUCAAAAGCCAAGCUCUGUCCCCGUCAGCACGUCACCCUCCCUCACUGUAAUCCCUGACUGUUUUCUCUAAAUGAAGAAUUAUUUAGAGAAUAUAAAUUAGAAGGGCCGCCACGUCAGAAUUGCCUGAGUGGGAGCAGUCUUUCCAGCCUCGAAAAAUGUUUAAACAAUAUGCAGAUGACCUAGCACAAAUAAAGAAUGCUAGCAACCGCUGUUAUGUGUGAGCGGUGGAAUUGGGAGGGCUCUUCCCCCAAUCUUCAUCAAACAGAGUAAGGUUUAGAAUAAAAAUAAUGAAAUACAGUCUUUCAAAAAGAGCA
RNAcentral lists this long non-coding RNA (933 nucleotides) under Homo sapiens (human). The record is from RNAcentral. Lineage: Eukaryota; Metazoa; Chordata; Mammalia; Primates; Hominidae.